UAUCUAUAUCUAUAUCUAUAUCUAUAUCUAUAUCUAUAUAUCUAUAUUUCUUUAUUUUCCCUUUAGAAGAGUCUACCAGUGUUGAGAAAAUCUCUCUUGAACAGCCAGCACCCUGUUCCCCACGGACAGCAGCCACUUCAGCUACUGAAAGUUAUACCUCAUGCUGCCUUUGGGAAUAUUCCCUUUGCUGUCACGAACAAGAUUAUGGGACCAAGGUAACCCAACAAUAUAGGCUCAGCCAUCAGAUCAAGUGCAGCCCAGCCUCCUCUGGUGAAGGUGGCACAGUUACACCAGAGUUCUCAACUGAGUCGCUUAAGGCAAGAAGACCCAGAGCAAGCAAGACUGAAACAAAAAGCAAAGGAGGUAAGCAGAGCUGGAGAUCAUUACAUUUGACAUUUCAAGGCUUGAACCUAUUAAUUUUUUAUGCCUCGCUACUUGUAUAUCAUUAAUAAAAAUCUGACUAAAAA
Molecule: long non-coding RNA, 467 nt
Filed under: Phascolarctos cinereus (koala)
Lineage: Eukaryota; Metazoa; Chordata; Mammalia; Diprotodontia; Phascolarctidae
Description: lncRNA (ENSPCIG00000023614.2)
Source: RNAcentral